CUACGGGGCGCAGCAGUGGGGAAUAUUGGACAAUGGGCGCAAGCCUGAUCCAGCAAUGCCGCGUGAGUGAAGACGGCCUUAGGGUUGUAAAACUCUUUCGCUAGGGAAGAUAAUGACUGUACCUAGUAAAGAAGUCCCGGCUAACUCCGUGCCAGCAGCCGCGGUAAUACGGAGGGGACUAGCGUUGUUCGGAAUUACUGGGCGUAAAGAGUUCGUAGGCGGACUGACAAGUUAGAGGUGAAAUCCCAGGGCUCAACCCUGGAACUGCCUUUAAAACUGUCAGUCUAGAGACCGGAAGAGGUUAGGGGAAUACCUAGUGUAGAGGUGAAAUUCGUAGAUAUUAGGUGGAACACCAGUGGCGAAGGCGCCUAACUGGUCCGGUACUGACGCUGAGGAACGAAAGCGUGGUGAGCAAACAGGAUUAGAUACCCUAGUAGUC
This 439-nucleotide ribosomal RNA is filed under the name uncultured bacterium. RNAcentral's name for it is "partial 16S ribosomal RNA". It matches the Rfam family "Bacterial small subunit ribosomal RNA", at positions 339 to 795 of the family's 1533-position model. The record is from RNAcentral.